Molecule: long non-coding RNA, 838 nt
Organism: Podarcis raffonei (Aeolian wall lizard)
Lineage: Eukaryota; Metazoa; Chordata; Lepidosauria; Squamata; Lacertidae
Exons: 3
Source: RefSeq, a predicted model, not a curated record
CAAUAGAGGAGUUUGUAGAUGCUCCCUUUCCAUCGGAGCAGGAGCUGUGAGAAGGUGCCCAGGCGUGCAUCAGCUACACGACUUGGAUUGGAUGGUUCGUUGAAUAAAGGAUGCCUUGAAACAGAAGACUUUCCUCUAUGAUAGUCCUUCAAAUAGAAAACUUUUCCUACUGAGGCAAGAAGUGAGCAGGAAUAAAGAAGCAACACUGGAAAAUAAGGAGAAGGAAAUUGGGGAACAUCUAAAGGAACCGAAAGUUGGAGUAUGGGAAAAGAAAAGGCGAGAUGUUUAACAGUAUCUUGAUGAUGUGGAUUUCCUGGCUCAGUCAUGUCAUCGCCUGGAGUUGCUCAAUGUGAUGGAUGAACCUUUCACAAGGUCCCAGUGUUUAUAUUAUUGUGUUCCUAGCCACGUGUUUGCCAGAGGCAGCUUGAAGAUUAUUCCAAUAUGUAAUGCCAAAUACAUAACACAGAAAUGUUGUAUGGUAGCCAGUCUAUCUGUAAGAAUAGCUCAGCCCCCAAAUAAGCAUAUUGUCUGCUGCAUUGUCCGUCUUGCUGUGCCUCUUUCUCUCUCUCAAACCCUUCCCUCCCCCAAGAUGAUUAUGCACCUGACUGCAUUGGUAGCAAGAAAAUGCCAGGGCUUAUCCACACUUACCUUCCCUCAAUGCUUUCCAGGCAUGGUCUGUGCCUUAAAACUCCAUGUCCAAACGCCUUUUUUCCCCAUUGCUCCAGAGUUUCUCUGUGUAGACCCACUCUUUAUAGUUCAGUUGGAGCAAACAGCAAUCUGUGGGAAACCCAAAUUGAUGUUUGCUCCAACUGAGUCUUAAAGAGCAGGUUCUCAUGGG